CAUCAACCUUGCAAUUUGCAAGUCAUGGAUAACAUUUGAAAAUGUUUAUUAGCAAGUCCUAGAGAUUCUGGACUAUGAUGCUUGCAUCAACAUUGGGCCUAACAAUUUGUUAACAAAAUUAUACUGCAUCACUUCUACAACAGUACUUUUAGCAAAUAUGAGUCUUGCACUUGUGAAUAUGCAAGUUCAUUGUGAGUGAGGAAAUAAUCUCAAAUCUUUAUGAAUUCUUGAUUAUGUUAUUUUGUCUAGCUCUUAGUGUUGGAAUUAUGAAAUUCUAUGUUCCAACUUGAGGGGGAG
This 297-nucleotide unclassified non-coding RNA is filed under the name Hevea brasiliensis (rubber tree). The record is from RNAcentral. Lineage: Eukaryota; Viridiplantae; Streptophyta; Magnoliopsida; Malpighiales; Euphorbiaceae.